UCACAACACACACCUCUAAUGUUUAUGUC
Molecule: small RNA, 29 nt
Filed under: Bombyx mori (domestic silkworm)
Lineage: Eukaryota; Metazoa; Arthropoda; Insecta; Lepidoptera; Bombycidae
Description: ovarian small RNA-24961
Source: RNAcentral